AACAUGUCCUUUGGGAGUAAAUGUAAGGUCAGGUCUGCUCGAUGUUUACAUCAAUAGCCGCAGUACUUUGACUGUGCGAAGGUAGCAUGAUAAAUUGCCCUUUAAUUGGGGGAAGGUACGAAUGACUAGACGAGGGGAAAACUGUCUCUUUGACAGGUAGGAAAAAUUGGACUUUGGGUUAAAAUCCCCAAAUUUGGUGGAGGGACGAAAAGACCCUAGGAUCUUCUCUUACUUGUUAAGUAAGUUUGCUUGGGAUGAGACACACAAUUUACAAACUGUUGAUAAAUUGACAGAAUCACCUUUCUGAUUGGUGAACCCCUAAAAGGGAAAAAUGGGAAAAGUUACCCUAGGGAUAACAGCAGGAUACUGACUUUGGAGACCAAAUUUGAAGUCAGGUUUCUGACCUCGAUGUUGAAUUAAGAUUUCAUCCAGAGGGAGAAAGUUGGAUAGUGGGAUUGUUCAUCCCUCAAAAUCUUACGUGAUCUGA
Molecule: ribosomal RNA, 487 nt
Filed under: Pectinopygus excornis
Lineage: Eukaryota; Metazoa; Arthropoda; Insecta; Psocodea; Philopteridae
Description: partial 16S ribosomal RNA
Rfam family: Bacterial large subunit ribosomal RNA
Source: RNAcentral